GACGAACCGUCCAAACGUUAUUCGGAAUUACUGGGCUUAAAGGGUGCGUAGGCGGCCUGACAAGUUGGGUGUGAAAUACCUCGGCUCAACCGAGGAAUGGCGCUCAAAACUGUAAGGCUAGAGGAAGAUAGAGGUGAGCGGAACUUAAGGUGGAGCGGUGAAAUGCGUUGAUAUCUUAAGGAACACCCGUGGCGAAAGCGGCUCACUGGAUCUUUUCUGACGCUGAUGCACGAAAGCUAGGGGAGCAAACAGG
Molecule: ribosomal RNA, 253 nt
Filed under: uncultured bacterium
Lineage: Bacteria
Description: partial 16S ribosomal RNA
Rfam family: Bacterial small subunit ribosomal RNA
Source: RNAcentral